UACGUAGGGGGCAAGCGUUAUCCGGAUUUACUGGGUGUAAAGGGGGCGCAGACGGCGAUGCAAGCCAGGAGUGAAAGCCCGGGGCCCAACCCCGGGACUGCUCUUGGAACUGCGUGGCUGGAGUGCAGGAGGGGCAGGCGGAAUUCCUGGUGUAGCGGUGAAAUGCGUAGAUAUCAGGAGGAACACCGGUGGCGAAGGCGGCCUGCUGGACUGCAACUGACGUUGAGGCCUGAAAGCGUGGGGAGCAAACAGG
This 253-nucleotide ribosomal RNA is filed under the name uncultured bacterium. RNAcentral's name for it is "partial 16S ribosomal RNA". It matches the Rfam family "Bacterial small subunit ribosomal RNA", at positions 524 to 776 of the family's 1533-position model. The record is from RNAcentral.